AGAGUUUGAUCCUGGCUCAGAAUCAACGCUGGCGGCGUGCCUAACACAUGCAAGUCGCACGAGAAAGGGGAGCAAUCCCUGAGUAAAGUGGCGCACGGGUGAGUAACACGUGAAUGAUCUACCUCCGAGUGGGGAAUAACUGAGAGAAAUCUUAGCUAAUACCGCAUAACACUUACGAGUCAAAGCAGCAAUGCGCUUGGAGAGGAGUUCGCGGCCGAUUAGUUAGUUGGCGGGGUAAUGGCCCACCAAGACGAUGAUCGGUAUCCGGCCUGAGAGGGCGCACGGACACACUGGAACUGAAACACGGUCCAGACUCCUACGGGAGGCAGCAGUGGGGAAUUUUGCGCAAUGGGGGAAACCCUGACGCAGCAACGCCGCGUGGAGGAUGAAAUAUCUUGGUAUGUAAACUCCUUUCGAUGGGGAAGAUUAUGACGGUACCCAUAGAAGAAGCCCCGGCUAACUUCGUGCCAGCAGCCGCGGUAAUACGAGGGGGGCAAGCGUUGUUCGGAUUUAUUGGGCGUAAAGGGUGCGUAGGCGGUUUGGCAAGUCUGAUGUGAAAUCUAUGGGCUCAACCCAUAGUCUGCAUCAGAAACUGCCGGGCUUGAGUAUGGGAGAGGUGAGUGGAAUUUCCGGUGUAGCGGUGAAAUGCGUAGAUAUCGGAAGGAACACCUGUGGCGAAAGCGGCUCACUGGACCAUAACUGACGCUGAUGCACGAAAGCUAGGGGAGCAAACAGGAUUAGAUACCCUAGUAGUCC
This 756-nucleotide ribosomal RNA is filed under the name uncultured bacterium. RNAcentral describes it as "bacterial SSU rRNA". It matches the Rfam family "Bacterial small subunit ribosomal RNA", at positions 8 to 796 of the family's 1533-position model. The record is from RNAcentral.